RNAcentral lists this ribosomal RNA (253 nucleotides) under uncultured bacterium. RNAcentral's name for it is "partial 16S ribosomal RNA". It matches the Rfam family "Bacterial small subunit ribosomal RNA", at positions 524 to 776 of the family's 1533-position model. The record is from RNAcentral.
UACGUAGGGUCCGAGCGUUGUCCGGAAUUAUUGGGCGUAAAGGGCUCGUAGGCGGUCCGUCACGUCGGGAGUGAAAACUCAGGGCUCAACCCUGAGCGUGCUUCCGAUACGGGCGGACUAGAGGUAUGCAGGGGAGAACGGAAUUCCUGGUGUAGCGGUGGAAUGCGCAGAUAUCAGGAGGAACACCGGUGGCGAAGGCGGUUCUCUGGGCAUUACCUGACGCUGAGGCGCGAAAGCAUGGGGAGCGAACAGG